UGUAUAAUGUCUGAUUAAAGGAUUUCUCUGAUAAGGAAAAGCAAGUGUUUUUCUUAAACACUUAUACAA
RNAcentral lists this transfer RNA (69 nucleotides) under Corallianassa coutierei. RNAcentral's name for it is "tRNA-Ile". Lineage: Eukaryota; Metazoa; Arthropoda; Malacostraca; Decapoda; Callianassidae. The record is from RNAcentral.